This 450-nucleotide ribosomal RNA is filed under the name uncultured bacterium. Its description in RNAcentral is "bacterial SSU rRNA". It matches the Rfam family "Bacterial small subunit ribosomal RNA", at positions 1052 to 1504 of the family's 1533-position model. The record is from RNAcentral.
UCGUCAGCUCGUGCCGUGAGGUGUUGGGUUAAGUCCCGCAACGAGCGCAACCCCUAUCAAUAGUUGCCAACAGGUAAUGCUGGGAACUCUAAAGAAACUGCCGCCGUAAGGCGUGAGGAAGGAGGGGAUGAUGUCAAGUCAUCAUGGCCUUUAUGCCCAGGGCUACACACGUGCUACGAUGGGGUGGACAAAGGGCUGCAACACGGUGACGUGAAGCCAAUCCCAAAAACCAUCUCUCAGUUCAGAUUGGAGUCUGCAACUCGACUCCAUGAAGCUGGAAUCGCUAGUAAUCGUAUAUCAGCAAUGAUACGGUGAAUACGUUCCCGGACCUUGCACACACCGCCCGUCAAGCCAUGGGAGCCGGGUGUACCUAAAGUCGGUAACCGCAAGGAGCUGCCUAGCGUCUAUAUAAUAGGGUGACUGGGGCUAAGUCGUAACAAGGUAACCGUA